UUGCACAGAGAACACCCAAGGAUGUCAAAAUGACACUCCCUGGUCUCCUAUGUCUGUGCUACAUUGAUUCUGAUCUUUUCCUCUGCAUUAGGAGAAUUUCAGUCUCUCCUACAUGUAUUCAGUUGAUCAGAACAAAC
RNAcentral lists this small nucleolar RNA (137 nucleotides) under Echeneis naucrates (live sharksucker). RNAcentral's name for it is "Small nucleolar RNA SNORA22 (ENSENLG00000002050.1)". It matches the Rfam family "Small nucleolar RNA SNORA22". Rfam says of the family: ACA22 is a member of the H/ACA class of snoRNA that guide the sites of modification of uridines to pseudouridines. The record is from Rfam by way of RNAcentral. Lineage: Eukaryota; Metazoa; Chordata; Actinopteri; Carangiformes; Echeneidae.